Non-coding RNA from Pelobates cultripes (western spadefoot toad), 408 nucleotides. The record is from the annotation of a GenBank genome assembly. NCBI's taxonomy places the organism in Eukaryota, Metazoa, Chordata, Amphibia, Anura, Pelobatidae.
GUUUAACCCCUUCCUCUCCAUCCAGCACGGCGGGAGUGGGACCCUGAGGGUGGGGGCACCCUCAGGGCACUAUAGUGCAAGGAAAACUAGUAUGUUUUCCUGGCGCUAUAGUGGUCCUUUAAUGAAUUAAUAGUGACUAUAUAAAUAGUUAUGAUUUGUAUUUACUCAAGCCAAUGUUACCAAUUUCUGAAAGGGUUGUGCAUUGCAUUGUUAUAUUGUAAUCUGUGUUAUUAUUUAAUGAUCCAACAUAUUGCAAGAACCUACAAUAACAAAUCUACACACUGGAGUUUGCUUGAAAGUAGGCUAUUUAAAGUAGUCUUUUUUAAGUAGGAGUUAAAACAACAGGAGUUUGUUGGUGAACUGGUGGACUGUGGUUGGUAUUAGUUAAUACCAAGUGGAAAAGAAAAG